Dromaius novaehollandiae (emu) is the source of this 1007-nucleotide long non-coding RNA. RefSeq lists it as uncharacterized. NCBI's taxonomy places the organism in Eukaryota, Metazoa, Chordata, Aves, Casuariiformes, Dromaiidae. The record is from RefSeq and is a predicted model, not a curated record. The transcript has 3 exons.
CAAUAGAACAGUUCACACUUCAAAGCUGUUCUCUGUAAUGUCUUUGUGGCAAGCAGUGUGGAAUAAUGAACAAGUCUGCGCCCUUACAAGUCAUCUGUUUCGUCUUUGGUGGAAAGGGAGUAAUGGUGAAAAAGAGAAUAACCAUGCGCUAGCUUCACCACAGAAGCUGAAGUAAAAAUCUGGUGCUCUUGCAUCAUUUUCUGCAAGAGGACUUCUUUCUGCAGGGGAGGUAUAUCUUCGACAGAUCUGCUGAUGAGGGGAAGAAAAUCUCGGCACUUUGGCGCCGGGAAGAUUGCAGGCAUGCGGGGUGGAGGCAGAGAGGGCGAACACUGCAGGUCCAAGAAAAAUAAUAAAAUUUUUAGAUUGUACUCACUUCCAGAAGAACUCUGCCACAAGUUUGAUAAAAAACAUAACUACCAUUUGGCAGAUCCUUUAACUGGAGCUGCACCUGAAUACUUGCAGAGGCUUCCUGAACUGGCUUCAUUAGAAUGUGAAACUGUGUUUGGGAAAGAAACAAAAAAUUACAAAAGAAGAAGAAAAGAGAAAUGUGGCCAAGCUAACAGGAAAGAAGCAAGCUCUUCAGUUACUUUGUGAACUAUGAGUUUGUUGCCACCGAAAUCCAAAAAUUACUCUCAUAUUCAGCAUGAUGUUCGAUAUUUUUUUCUUUAAAACUCUACCAACUGUAAGUAACUCAUAAAUACCACAAUUUGGUAUUACAUAUUUUAUAUUUAUAUAGGCUGUGUGCAGUGUGCUUUUUAGCAAACCAUACUGGACAUGUCUGGAAGCCCUGGAUAUGGUUGUGAGCUGCUGAGUCUGGACUUGUCCCUAGCCUGUAUCUUGAUUCUGUAUUGUGUAGGGAACACGCUCGCUUAGUCAUAUCUCUCUGCCCUUCUCUGAUUUCCUUGGACAGGAAAUCCAAGGCUAAUAGAAGCUUCAAUGUAUUGCAGCAGGCCUGUGAUGGCAGAUCAAAUGUCAUUAUGAAGUCUUAAUUGACAUGAAGACUUGCU